This is a long non-coding RNA of Ictalurus punctatus (channel catfish), 456 nucleotides long. The record is from Ensembl. Lineage: Eukaryota; Metazoa; Chordata; Actinopteri; Siluriformes; Ictaluridae.
GUAAAGGGAAGUGUAGUAAAGUGUAUUAAAGUGAAGUGUAGUAAAGGGAAGUGUAGUAAAGUGUAGUAAAGGGAAGUGUAGUAAAGGGAAGUGUAGUAAAGUGUAUUAAAGGGAAGUGUAAUAAAGGGAAGUGUGUAAAGUGGAAGUGUAGUAAAGGGAAGUGUAGUAAAGGGAAGUGUAGUAAAGUGUAUUAAAGGGAAGUGUAAUAAAGGGAAGUGUAGUAAAGUGUAGUAAAGGGAAGUGUAGUAAAGGGAAGUGUAGUAAAGGGAAGUGUAGUAAAGUGUAUUAAAGGGAAGUGUAUUAAAGGAAGUUGUAGUAAAGUGUAUUAAAGGGAGUGUGUAGUAAAGGGAAGUGUAGUAAAGUGUAUUAAAGGGAAGUGUAGUAAAGUGUAUUAAAGGGAAGUGUAUAAAAGGGAAGUGUAGUAAAGUGUAUUAAAGGGAAGUGCAGUAAAGUGUA